Molecule: small RNA, 517 nt
Filed under: Pongo abelii (Sumatran orangutan)
Lineage: Eukaryota; Metazoa; Chordata; Mammalia; Primates; Hominidae
Description: processed transcript
Source: RNAcentral
GUAGAUUUCUGUUGUGAGUUUUCUUGCUUUGACAGUAUGACCUACAGCCUCAUUAAAGGGCUAGAGCAGAAAGGAGUGUCAGUAAAAGGUGCUAGAUGGGGAGGCUAAGACGGGAAGCUGGUAGGGGUGAGACUGAUCUACGUAAGAGGCCAGCCAGAACCUUCAGAACAUUCUGUGAUUGGGUUAUUAUACCCCUGCAUUGACAGACAUCUAGGAGAACCACAUAAAUUUAAAAGAGAGUGGUCCAGUGUAAUGCGGUGUGUAGCAGUCUUUGUUGGUAUAAAUCAUGCCAGUGCUAAAGUGGAUUUUGAUAACAACAUACAGUUGUCUCUCACACUGGCUGCACUAUCCAUUGGACUGUGGUGGACUUUUGAUAGAUCUAGAAGUGGUUUUGGCCUUGGAGUAGGAAUCGCCUUCUUGGCAACCGUGGUCACUCAAUUGCUAGUGUAUAAUGGUGUUUAUCAAUAUACAUCUCCAGAUUUCCUCUAUGUUCGUUCUUGGUUACCAUGUAUAUUUU